Small nucleolar RNA from Lycium barbarum (goji berry), 92 nucleotides. RefSeq annotates it as small nucleolar RNA SNORD96 family. Lineage: Eukaryota; Viridiplantae; Streptophyta; Magnoliopsida; Solanales; Solanaceae. The transcript has a single exon. The record is from RefSeq and is a predicted model, not a curated record.
UGGCCUGUGAUGAAAUCUAUUUAAAAAGAACACCAUCUUUCGGGACUGAAUGGCCCAUAGGCCUUGCUGUUAAUUCUGCAAUUCUGAGGCCA